This is a non-coding RNA of Mycena epipterygia, 92 nucleotides long. The record is from the annotation of a GenBank genome assembly. NCBI's taxonomy places the organism in Eukaryota, Fungi, Basidiomycota, Agaricomycetes, Agaricales, Mycenaceae.
GGCUCGGUGGUGGACGGUUCGCAUCUGCUGGCUAUUCUGGUGUCGGACCCACUUACACGCAGACGUCGCUCGUUCGACUCGGGCCCGAGUCA